This 441-nucleotide ribosomal RNA is filed under the name uncultured bacterium. RNAcentral describes it as "partial 16S ribosomal RNA". It matches the Rfam family "Bacterial small subunit ribosomal RNA", at positions 338 to 795 of the family's 1533-position model. The record is from RNAcentral.
CCUACGGGAGGCAGCAGUGGGGAAUUUUGCGCAAUGCUCGUAAGAGUGACGCAGCGACGCCGCGUGAUUGAAGAAGGCCUUCGGGUUGUAAAGAUCUUUAAUCGGGGACGAAUUUUGACGGUACCCGAAGAAUAAGCUCCGGCUAACUACGUGCCAGCAGCCGCGGUAAUACGUAGGGAGCAAGCGUUAGCCGGAUUUACUGGGUGUAAAGGGCGGGUAGGCGGGAAUGCAAGCCAGAAGUGAAAUCUGGGGGCUUAACCCCCAAACUGCUUUUGGAACUGCGUGUCUUGAGUGAUGGAGAGGCAGGCGGAAUUCCCAGUGUAGCGGUGAAAUGCGUAGAUAUUGGGAGGAACACCAGUGGCGAAGGCGGCCUGCUGGACAUUAACUGACGCUGAGGCGCGAAAGCGUGGGGAGCAAACAGGAUUAGAUACCCCAGUAGUC